UUUCGAAUCAUUCACAAUGGGCGAAAGCCUGAUGGUGCGACGCCGCGUGAGGGAUGAAGGCCUUCGGGUUGUAAACCUCUGUCACCGGGGAAGAAACGCUUCAAGUUAACAGCUUGAAGCCUGACUUAACCCGGAGAGGAAGCAGUGGCUAACUCUGUGCCAGCAGCCGCGGUAAUACAGAGACUGCAAGCGUUAUUCGGAUUCACUGGGCGUAAAGGGUGCGCAGGCGGCCGGGUGUGUCAGAUGUGAAAUCCCGAGGCUUAACCUCGGAACUGCGUCUGAAACUACUCGGCUAGAGUAUUGGAGAGGGUAACGGAAUUCACGGUGUAGCAGUGAAAUGCGUAGAUAUCGUGAGGAACACCAGAGGCGAAGGCGGUUACCUGGACAAUUACUGACGCUCAGGCACGAAAGCAUGGGGAGCAAAAGGGAUUAGAUACCCAUGUAGUCCCUGAGCGGGCUGGCAAGGCGCAU
This 471-nucleotide ribosomal RNA is filed under the name uncultured bacterium. RNAcentral's name for it is "bacterial SSU rRNA". It matches the Rfam family "Bacterial small subunit ribosomal RNA", at positions 355 to 825 of the family's 1533-position model. The record is from RNAcentral.